Molecule: ribosomal RNA, 253 nt
Filed under: uncultured bacterium
Lineage: Bacteria
Description: partial 16S ribosomal RNA
Rfam family: Bacterial small subunit ribosomal RNA
Source: RNAcentral
UACGUAGGGUGCGAGCGUUAAUCGGAAUUACUGGGCGUAAAGCGUGCGCAGGCGGUUUGUUAAGACAGGUGUGAAAUCCCCGGGCUUAACCUGGGAACUGCGCUUGUUACUGGCAAGCUGGAGUGUGGCAGAGGGGGGUGGAAUUCCACGUGUAGCAGUGAAAUGCGUAGAGAUGUGGAGGAACACCGAUGGCGAAGGCAGCCCCCUGGGCUAACACUGACGCUCAUGCACGAAAGCGUGGGGAGCAAACAGG